RNAcentral lists this non-coding RNA (59 nucleotides) under Blattella germanica (German cockroach). Lineage: Eukaryota; Metazoa; Arthropoda; Insecta; Blattodea; Blattellidae. The record is from RNAcentral.
UACGAGGAGCAGUGAGAAGAGCAUAUUUUAAAGUUGCACUUUUCACUAUUACUUGUAUG